Molecule: long non-coding RNA, 422 nt
Organism: Clupea harengus (Atlantic herring)
Lineage: Eukaryota; Metazoa; Chordata; Actinopteri; Clupeiformes; Clupeidae
Source: Ensembl
GUGUGUGUGUGUGUGUGAUCUGUAUGCUGAGGUUGUGAUAGGGGGGGAUAAGUGAGGUCUGUCACCUACUGUACUGCCCUCAGGGCCACUUAUGAGCUCGUCAGCUCCGUCUCAUGCUUUAUUCAUACCACAAUCAUUUAACUAAGUGCACCGACUAUUUCAAUAUUUAAUGCUGUUGUAAUCGAUAUGGAACCCGGCAUUUUGCCCCAGUUUUUCAGCUUUUUUUUUUCUAAUCUCGCAAAAGUUCUGUUAUUUGAAUUAAAGGUUAAUCGAGUUGCGCAAGAGAUGGUAAUUACACAUUGAUCAAAGAUUUGCUCUCCCCAUCAUCGUUCGCAACCCACCCCACCCCACCCCACCCCCCUUCCUUUUUUUACUCAACAUCACCCUGACUGCAUGCAAGAUGGCCCCCAGCACAAACUGAC